RNAcentral lists this transfer RNA (74 nucleotides) under Actinomycetota bacterium. Its description in RNAcentral is "tRNA-Gly". It matches the Rfam family "tRNA". Rfam says of the family: Transfer RNA (tRNA) molecules are approximately 80 nucleotides in length. Their secondary structure includes four short double-helical elements and three loops (D, anti-codon, and T loops). Lineage: Bacteria; Bacillati; Actinomycetota. The record is from RNAcentral.
GCGAGCGUAGUUCAGAGGUAGAACAUCAGCUUCCCAAGCUGAGAACGCGGGUUCGAUUCCCGUCGCUCGCUCCA